Sapajus apella (tufted capuchin) is the source of this 1526-nucleotide long non-coding RNA. RefSeq lists it as uncharacterized. The transcript has 2 exons. The record is from RefSeq and is a predicted model, not a curated record. NCBI's taxonomy places the organism in Eukaryota, Metazoa, Chordata, Mammalia, Primates, Cebidae.
AGAUGAACUCUUCUGAAAGAAAAGCAUGUCAGUGCUGACUUUUAAUGAACAGAAAGAGGUUUCCUAUGAGCUUAUACUCUUGUAGGAUAAUUCCAGAAAGUCAAGGCGGCACUGUGAGAUUUUGUCAAUGAGUUUAAUAUAUAUGUCCAUAGGUAGUUCAUAUGAAUGCUUAAAUUACAAAAUUAGCUGCCAUGGUCCAAAUGUGUGGGACUUUAGGAAAGCUUUUCUUACUCAAAAGAUAACUAAGACUAUCAACUUUGAUUUCUAAAAUGUAUUUUAAAGGUUUGUAAAACAAGGCUAAUUCUGCAAUUAUAUAAUAUUAAGGUUUAUGUUAUUUUUGUUAUUUUAAUAACAACUUCAUGAACUGUUAAAAAUAUUACAUUUGCAUCUCUCAGUUUACAUAUUUCUGUAUUAACCUAGAGAAAACCCAUGUGAAAAGUUUUCAUGCAGUUACAAAGGCAGUAGCACAUGCUGUUUUCACAGCAACUUGUUGUUAUUGCCUCAGAACAGGCCUGCACUAAAGCAUCAACAAAAAAUACCCCCCACCCCGCUCCCACCAGAAAACCCAACCCUUACCCAUCCCUGGCAAAAAUUACCUGGUACAAGCAAUGACCUAAAAAAUGCUUUCUUAGUAGGAAGCAUUUAUAAAAUGCAGCAAUCUGAACAAGCUAAGUGCUCGUGCAGAUACGUCGGCCUCUCCUCCAAGAGAUGCUUCCUCAAGAGGCGGAAAGAACUCUCAAUAAUUAGGAAAGCUCAUUUUCAAAAGUAUACUUACACAUAUUCAUGGACAUUUCUUUGAAAGAACAUAUCCAGCCUCAAUUAUGGAAAAGAAAAAAGCAAAAGAAGAAGCAAAGGUACACAGCCAUAACACAGAGAACACAGCUUCUCCAUGAACAUCCACCAGGCUGUAGCAACCAAGAAGGAAAAACACUUGGACUUCACAUGUAUCAGUGAUCUUACCUACGUGAAGCAUUAAUUUUUCAUGCAUUUGUUACUCAAGAAAAUAAACAUACAACCACUUAAAAUACAGCAUUCAUGUUGUCAUUGGUUUGUGGUAUCAGGUAAGGAAAAACUGGUGCUCCUGUCCCUAGACUUUUCCAAUGUCCAUGUCAGUAUCCUAAUGCCUACAGACUUCCUACUAAUUCUGUUAUCAGCAUUUCCCACCUCAAAACAUAUACUACAUUAUGUUCUGGGUCCCUGAAAUUUCAUUACCACAUACUGCAUUCUAAUUUUUACUUUUUCUCAAGUUUAAUGUAGACAUACAAGAAAACAUCAAGCAAUGUUUAUUGCGCAAUUCCAAUCAUUAUUUGUGGAAUCUUGGUUUAAAGUCAGUCUUUAUAGCCAUUUCAACUGCUUAGUUUAAACAAAAAGCAACAAUCUGGUUAUCUACCUGUAAAUUUCAUGGUAUUUCUUCAAACACUGAAGUACCAAAAGCACUGAUGAUUCAUAUUAUAAUUUUUAAAAUAUUUAAAACCUACACAGAUUUCAUUCCUUUUAUAAAAUAAUCAAAAUAAUUUGAUUAUCUG